GCGUCUGCCCACGUCUUCCUGGCUGCUUGGGUGACACCGCCCAAACGCGGCUCAUUAUUCUGUUUUUCUUCCUUGCCUGAGCAAGACAAUGGUGGUGGUGGUGGAGCAGGAGAGGAGAGACCUGUUCCCAGCGGUGAUUUCAAUGAGUGACCCUGCUUGGAGUGACAUUCACCAACAGCCCAGCCAGAAGAGGUGAAAGGAAACCAGGUAAAAAUCAGGAGAAUGGGGAAUGAAAAUCACACUCACUUCACAUUUCAUCGCUAGACUGCAGGGGAAAGAGAAGAUGCCCCAGCAGCAGAAAGCUUAGCUGGGAACACAGGCUCUGGGACGAGAAGAGGCACACCCAGCCGGGCUCACUUCUGACCCUUUGCUGAACUCAGUCUUGCCCCUGCCCAGAUUAAGGGCUAAGCCAGUCCUCAUCGUCAGCACAGCAGUAUCGAGAGGAAGACUGCGGCUGCUCUAAUUGCUAUGAAGUCUCUUGCCCUCAAAACCCUGAAGCACCAAAGCCUGAAUCCUUCCCGCGAAACACUGACCUCUCUCUCUCGGGCCCAGUCAUGCCCACUGCCCAAGUGCAGCAGCCGGGGAGAGCAGAGAUUGUUCUCAUCAUCGCCAAGGGCCGUGGAGAAGAGGAUGCUAGGAGACUUGCCUAUGAAUGAGGGCUUCUAUCUCACAUGUCCUCAGCCUUCUCAUGUUGGCCUUGACUUUCCAUCCUCAGUCUUGUGGUUGGCUGAAAUGUGGGCAUGUGGGUGGUAGGCAAGGACAGGUGCCCUUCUUUCUCUUUCAGAUCGUUCCCCCUGCUUGGCUGGGCUGCUUCUGUGUUCCCUGGAGAUGACAGCUAGGAACCUGGCCACCAGCUUCUGUUGUUCCCUGGGUUCCUUUUGGGCUUGGCCAGUGUGAGACAAGGGCAGGACAUCAGAAGUUGAGAGAGCAUCUCUUCCCCAUUGCUGCCUUUGCUGCCAUGUUUUGUCCCUGACAGGAGCUAUGCCCCUCCAUUCUGUGGCUCUCCCAGGUGACAUCCUGUAGGGUCUCAGCUCUCAAUAUAGACCAGCCACAUUAUUUCUUCCCUUGGCUCCUCUGGGCUCCAGGAUGACAGCAUCUCCCUGCUAUUACCAGUUCCCAGGGGGAGUUGGGGGUGGGGCCUCAGCAUUCCUGACACCUCCCAAUGAUCUAUAAACUAUUCCUCUACUG
Long non-coding RNA from Mus musculus (house mouse), 1188 nucleotides. RefSeq annotates it as RIKEN cDNA 9430078K24 gene. The transcript is spliced from 4 exons. The record is from RefSeq and is marked validated. Lineage: Eukaryota; Metazoa; Chordata; Mammalia; Rodentia; Muridae.